Molecule: transfer-messenger RNA, 124 nt
Filed under: Acidiferrobacteraceae bacterium
Lineage: Bacteria; Pseudomonadati; Pseudomonadota; Gammaproteobacteria; Acidiferrobacterales; Acidiferrobacteraceae
Description: partial transfer-messenger RNA
Rfam family: transfer-messenger RNA
About the family: Bacterial tmRNA, also known as 10Sa RNA or SsrA, is named for its dual tRNA and mRNA-like properties. Its role is to liberate the mRNA from a stalled ribosome.
Source: RNAcentral
GGGGGCGACCUGGUUUCGACGUGGAUUACAAAGCCAUCGGAGCAUGUCGAGGUGCAGAUCUCCUCGUAAAUCCAACUGCAAACUAUUAGUUGCCAACGACGACAACUACGCCCUGGCGGCUUAA